AAAGAAGCUCCAUAAUAGGGAAAGGCAGUUGUUAUAAAUCUCUCAUAUUCAUUGUGUCUGAAGGGCCGAACUGGAAUCUGUUUGGAAAGGGACAAGCUAGUGUAUCCAAGCCUCUCAUACUCAACCUUAAACUGGAAAACCCCGUACACAUCAGGCACCUUGAAUGUUGUAUGAUACAGACCCUUCUGGUCAGUUGAUAGGGUUUUCAACACAUAAGGGCUCAUCAU
RNAcentral lists this unclassified non-coding RNA (227 nucleotides) under Hevea brasiliensis (rubber tree). Lineage: Eukaryota; Viridiplantae; Streptophyta; Magnoliopsida; Malpighiales; Euphorbiaceae. The record is from RNAcentral.